This is a long non-coding RNA of Hyla sarda, 831 nucleotides long. RefSeq lists it as uncharacterized. The record is from RefSeq and is a predicted model, not a curated record. The transcript has 3 exons. Lineage: Eukaryota; Metazoa; Chordata; Amphibia; Anura; Hylidae.
UAAUGUCCCUUCGCGAGAACAAAACAAAUUUUACGAUGGCUAAGUUCACUUUUGUUGCUAGGCACAACAGAGGUGGCAGUGCCGUGAAAGGGAAGAAAACGCUACAGCCAGCUGUGUUGUUCACAGUCGGGUAAUUUCUCUAUCGCUGUGAAUGGAUAUGGGGCCAGUAGCCUGUUGUGGCCAAGGACAGGAUGAUGGAUGAUCUACAUACUGUGCCCAAGUAGAAGAAGAAAGAAAGAAGUUCAAUGCACUGCUGUUAAAAUGCUAAUAUGGGUUAGUUAACAAAAGAGCACUGGAACAGGAAAGUUCGGAGGGACAGGCGCCCCUCAUGUUAUGUGUGUAUACUGGCCACUUGAUGGCUCUUCAUACUUACACAUUAAGGAUACAAUUUACUAGUCGCCCGGUUUCCACAACCUUAUUAUUAGCUGUACCAAGUCUUGUACAUAUGACACUGAAUCCAGAUCAUGACAAGCCUCCCGCAGCUUCUGGAAUUGGCGCUGGACCGUUAAAAUAUGAUUUUCCUCCAACAUUUCUCAGUGACAAGGAAAAAAAAAAAAAGAAAAGGAAAAGAAAAAAGUCUGAACACAAUUUCUUCUGAAGCAGAAAUUGGCACAGCUAUUCUCCCAUCCACAGGCAACAUGAUAAGAAUCUGUUCGGUGGAGGUUCAACACUGAUCAUGAGGUCCCCUGACACCUGAGAAAAGGAAGAGACAGCAUUUGACCUCCACUCUGUUCACUCGCAAUGGGACUUCCGUAGCGAUGUACUCAUCUACUUUAGGCAUCCCCAAAGCAGUACGUGGCAGCUGGGCUGUGUAUGUGAAGGACUGCAAGC